This is a long non-coding RNA of Dendrobium catenatum, 372 nucleotides long. RefSeq lists it as uncharacterized. The record is from RefSeq and is a predicted model, not a curated record. Lineage: Eukaryota; Viridiplantae; Streptophyta; Magnoliopsida; Asparagales; Orchidaceae. The transcript has 2 exons.
GUUGAUAGGGUUCUUCUUCUUCCUGGAAGCCGCAGCCGCCUUUAGUUAGGGUUCUUCUUCUUCCUGGCUGCCGCCUUUAGUUAGGGUUUCGCGUCUUAAAUACUCAAUUGCGUGGUCGCAGUGAUAACGGGGUGGUGAUUUGUAGUGGUGAUUGAUAAUGAUCCUUUAACAACGAAGGAAGUGCAACGAACCAAUUGGAGGAUGGAUAGCGGUUUGACAACGCGGCCUUUGCGAUGGUGUUGGUUUGGUAGAGUUCUAUUGUUCUUGUAAUCUCUCUCUAUGAUUCUAAGUCAAAAUUUGUUUCAGUGAUUUAUGUUGAUCACAAUAUAGUUUCUGGCAUUGAAUUCAUUUUAAGCUUGCAAGAUUUGAGUA